Molecule: unclassified non-coding RNA, 159 nt
Filed under: uncultured Nectria
Lineage: Eukaryota; Fungi; Ascomycota; Sordariomycetes; Hypocreales; Nectriaceae
Description: sequence contains ITS1
Source: RNAcentral
CAGAGUGUUACAACUCCCUAAACCACUGUGAACAUACCUAUGUUGCUUCGGCGGGAUCGCCCCGUGGCCCUCGCGGCCCGGGCUCAGGCGCCCGCCGGAGGUCCAAACUCUAGUUUUCAACUUGUCUUCUGAGUGGCGCAAGCAAAUCAAAAUAAAUCA